RNAcentral lists this transfer RNA (77 nucleotides) under Candidatus Pacearchaeota archaeon CG10_big_fil_rev_8_21_14_0_10_31_24. RNAcentral describes it as "tRNA-Arg". It matches the Rfam family "tRNA". From Rfam's summary of the family: Transfer RNA (tRNA) molecules are approximately 80 nucleotides in length. Their secondary structure includes four short double-helical elements and three loops (D, anti-codon, and T loops). The record is from RNAcentral. Lineage: Archaea; Nanobdellati.
GUCCUCGUAGCUCAGCUGGAUAGAGCGCAAGCUUGCGGAGCUUGAGGUCGUCGGUUCAAAUCCGGCCGGGGACACCA